RNAcentral lists this long non-coding RNA (576 nucleotides) under Gallus gallus (chicken). Lineage: Eukaryota; Metazoa; Chordata; Aves; Galliformes; Phasianidae. The record is from RNAcentral.
GUGGCAGAUAACAGCUACCCUGUGGCUGGCUGGAAUGGCUUUCCCAAAAUGGAUCAGAUCACAGCUUCUUAACAGAGAUAAUUUCUUUACAGUAUUUUGCAGUACUCUCAUGAAAAGAUGAAAGCCUUCCAAGUCAGGAUUGAUGCAUCAUGGCUGGGAUGAUCAUGAGCAUAGCCAUAAACUGAAGUGAUUCAGACUUCUGUCUUCAGAGCACUUUUCCAAGGUUUCAGGUAUAGGAGAACCAUGAGAACACAUUGGAGAUCAGAAAUCAAAGGGCUGCAGAACUCAGGAGAAGCAUUACUGAGCUUAAAGAGAUCUGGAUUAAUUCUUGGAAAUUUAUCAGUAAAGAUGCAAGAGGACUCAAACAGUUGGACAACCCACAAAAUGCCUGGUCUGUCCCUUAACAUCAAUGUUUCCUGCAGCCCCCAAAGGAAAAAAAGCUUACAGCAUAUGUUGCUCUGUGUCUUCAACAAGAAAAUAUCUGGUAGUUGUUAUUCCUUCUUUUAACAAUACAAAAAUUACUCCUCUGUAGAGAACUUAUUUUUAAUAAAUAUUCAUUCAUUUUCUUGGUGUCUC